RNAcentral lists this ribosomal RNA (167 nucleotides) under uncultured bacterium. Its description in RNAcentral is "partial 16S rRNA". It matches the Rfam family "Bacterial small subunit ribosomal RNA", at positions 352 to 511 of the family's 1533-position model. The record is from RNAcentral.
CAGUAGGGAAUCUUCCACAAUGGACGAAAGUCUGAUGGAGCAACGCCGCGUGAGUGAAGAAGGUUUUCGGAUCGUAAAGCUCUGUUGUUGGUGAAGAAGGAUAGAGGCAGUAACUGGUCUUUAUUUGACGGUAAUCAACCAGAAAGUCACGGCUAACUACGUGCCAG